Molecule: transfer RNA, 66 nt
Filed under: Urocitellus parryii (Arctic ground squirrel)
Lineage: Eukaryota; Metazoa; Chordata; Mammalia; Rodentia; Sciuridae
Also listed under: 2 other names
Description: Spermophilus parryii (Arctic ground squirrel) tRNA
Rfam family: tRNA
About the family: Transfer RNA (tRNA) molecules are approximately 80 nucleotides in length.
Source: Rfam by way of RNAcentral
GGUAUAGCUCAGAGACAGAGCAUGUGCUUAACAUGCACAAGACCGUGAGUUUGAUUCUCAGCACCA